ACCUCUUCCUGCCUCUCACUAGCUUCAUCCCUCUCAGCUUGAGCUGCAGCCUGGGAGGGAAGGAGCUAUUGGGGGUCAGGAACAGCA
This 87-nucleotide microRNA precursor is filed under the name Physcomitrium patens. RNAcentral's name for it is "Physcomitrella patens MIR1219 microRNA precursor family". It matches the Rfam family "MIR1219 microRNA precursor family". Lineage: Eukaryota; Viridiplantae; Streptophyta; Bryopsida; Funariales; Funariaceae. The record is from Rfam by way of RNAcentral.